UUCCCGUACCGACCAUGGACCGGCAAAACCGAGACGGUGAGUACUAACCUCCGCCUCGUGGUGGUUCCUUCCUUCGGGUUGGUGUCGCCACGUGGUGUUGGGAGCGUAGCCGUAGUAGGUCAGCGCAGGGGUGACACGGAAUGGGAGCCGGCCGCGGAGGUGGUUUUCCGUGGUCAAGCACGCAGCCAGUCAUGUAGGCAAAUCCGCAUGGCGCGCAUGGCGAGGUGUGAUGAUGGGAGCCGUUAUGGCUCGAUAUCCGGUUGUCCAGGCCGUCGAGAAAAGCCUCGGCGUGAGGGCCAUGGCCGCCCGUACCCCAAACCGACACUGGUGGUCAGGUAGAGAAUACCAAGGCGAUCGAGCGAAUCCUGGUCAAGGAACUCGGCAAAUCACUCCCGUGCCUUCGGUAUAAGGGAGACCCGCUGGGGUGAACCGGCUAGCCCGGGGAGCUUUGGUGGGUGGCACAGACCAGGGGGUAGCGACUGUUUACCAAAAACACAGGUGCAUGCGAAGGCGAAAGCCGCUGUAUAUGCACUGACGCCUGCCCGGUGCCGGAAGGUUAAGAGGAUCCGUCAAUCCCUUCGGGGACGAAGCGGUGAAUUCAAGCCCCGGUAAACGGCGGUGGUAACUAUAACCAUCCUAAGGUAGCGAAAUUCCUUGUCGGGUAAGUUCCGACCUGCACGAAUGGCGUAACGACUUCCCCACUGUCUCGACCAGGAGCUCGGCGAAAUUGCAGUACGAGUAAAGAUGCUCGUUAAGCGCAGAAGGACGAAAAGACCCCGGGACCUUUACUAUACCUUGGUAUUGGCGUUAGGCGCGGAUUGUGUAGCAUAGGCGGGAGGCUUCGAAGCGGGUGCGCCAGCAUUCGUGGAGCCGCAAGGUGAAAUACCGCUCUGUUCUCGUUUGACGUCUAACCUCGACAAGUCAUCCUUGUCAGGGACAGUGCCUGGCGGGUAGUUCAACUGGGGCGGGUGCCUCCCAAAGAGUAACGGAGGCGCUCAAAGGUCCGCUCAGCCCGGUUGGCAAUCGGGUGUCGAGUGUAAUCGCACAAGCGGGCUUGACUGCGAGGACGACGGUCCGAGCAGGGACGAAAGUCGGAGAUAGUGAUCCGGUGCCGGCGCACGGGCGCGGCAUCGCUCAACGGAUAAAAGGUACCCCGGGGAUAACAGGCUGAUCAUUCCCAAGAGUCCAUAUCGACGGGAUGGUUUGGCACCUCGAUGUCGGCUCGUCGCAUCCUGGGGCUGGAGCAGGUCCCAAGGGUUCGGCUGUUCGCCGAUUAAAGCGGCACGCGAGCUGGGUUCAGAACGUCGUGAGACAGUUUGGUCUCUAUCCUCUGCGCUCGUUGGAAUCCUGAGGAGGCCUGCCCAUAGUACGAGAGGACCUGGGUGGACGAACCUCUGGUAUGCCGGUUGUCGCGCCAGCGGCACGGCCGGUUGGCUAUGUUCGGGAGGGAUAACCGCUGAAAGCAUCUAAGCGGGAAGCCUGCUCCAAGAUUAGGAUUCCGUACGGUCUUGAACCGUUGUAGCCCGCAUGUUGAACACGUGUUUGAUAGGCCGGAGGUGGAAGCCCCGUGAGGGGUGGAGCCGACCGGUACUAACGGGCGAUGGCGACA
This 1609-nucleotide ribosomal RNA is filed under the name Enterococcus hirae. RNAcentral's name for it is "partial 23S ribosomal RNA". It matches the Rfam family "Bacterial large subunit ribosomal RNA", at positions 1422 to 2925 of the family's 2925-position model. The record is from RNAcentral. Lineage: Bacteria; Bacillati; Bacillota; Bacilli; Lactobacillales; Enterococcaceae.